UACGUAGGGUGCAAGCGUUGUCCGGAAUUAUUGGGCGUAAAGAGCUCGUAGGCGGUUUGUCGCGUCGAAUGUGAAAUCCCGGGGCUCAACCCCGGGCCUGCAUUCGAUACGGGCAGACUAGAGUUCGGUAGGGGAGUCUGGAAUUCCUGGUGUAGCGGUGAAAUGCGCAGAUAUCAGGAGGAACACCGGUGGCGAAGGCGGGACUCUGGGCCGAUACUGACGCUGAGGAGCGAAAGCGUGGGGAGCAAGCAGG
Molecule: ribosomal RNA, 253 nt
Filed under: uncultured bacterium
Lineage: Bacteria
Description: partial 16S ribosomal RNA
Rfam family: Bacterial small subunit ribosomal RNA
Source: RNAcentral